RNAcentral lists this ribosomal RNA (398 nucleotides) under uncultured bacterium. RNAcentral's name for it is "bacterial SSU rRNA". It matches the Rfam family "Bacterial small subunit ribosomal RNA", at positions 362 to 775 of the family's 1533-position model. The record is from RNAcentral.
UCUUGCGCAAUGGGCGAAAGCCUGACGCAGCAACGCCGCGUGCGGGAUGAAGGCCUUCGGGUUGUAAACCGCUUUCAGUGGGGACGAACCAAGACGGUACCCACAGAAGAAGCCCCGGCCAACUACGUGCCAGCAGCCGCGGUAACACGUAGGGGGCAAGCGUUGUCCGGAUUCAUUGGGCGUAAAGAGCUCGUAGGCGGUUCGGUAAGUCGGGUGUGAAAACUUCAGGCUCAACCUGGAGACGCCACCCGAUACUGCCGUGACUAGAGUCCAGUAGGGGAGCGUGGAAUUCCUGGUGUAGCGGUGAAAUGCGCAGAUAUCAGGAGGAACACCAGCGGCGAAGGCGGCGCUCUGGGCUGGCACUGACGCUGAGGAGCGAAAGCGUGGGGAGCGAACAG